UCAGAAGUCACCAGGCUGGUUCAUAUUGAU
RNAcentral lists this non-coding RNA (30 nucleotides) under Rattus norvegicus (Norway rat). Lineage: Eukaryota; Metazoa; Chordata; Mammalia; Rodentia; Muridae. The record is from RNAcentral.